RNAcentral lists this ribosomal RNA (254 nucleotides) under uncultured bacterium. RNAcentral describes it as "partial 16S ribosomal RNA". It matches the Rfam family "Bacterial small subunit ribosomal RNA", at positions 524 to 776 of the family's 1533-position model. The record is from RNAcentral.
CACGUAGGGCGCAAGCGUUGUCCGGAAUUAUUGGGCGUAAAGAGCUCGUAGGCGGUCUGUUGCGUCCGCUGUGAAAACUCGGGGCUUAACCCCGAGCCUGCAGUGGAUACGGGCAGACUAGAGGUAGGUAGGGGAGAAUGGAAUUCCCGGUGUAGCGGUGAAAUGCGCAGAUAUCGGGAAGGAACACCGGUGGCGAAGGCGGUUCUCUGGGCCUUACCUGACGCUGAGGAGCGAAAGCGUGGGGAGCGAACAGG